RNAcentral lists this long non-coding RNA (5404 nucleotides) under Solanum tuberosum (potato). Its description in RNAcentral is "long non-coding RNA (STUB_LNC007336)". Lineage: Eukaryota; Viridiplantae; Streptophyta; Magnoliopsida; Solanales; Solanaceae. The record is from RNAcentral.
AUCUUCUAGAGCUUCGAUGGCCUUGUAUUGGCAAGAGAAAUCGGAAAAAGGGCAUGAAGGUUGUGUGAUAUCCACUUGGACGUUUGACCUCUCACAAAUGUCAUGAAUUCGACACCAAUGAAGACUUCUUCAGCUUCAACCUGCUCCGACUAAUACCAGCUCAAAUGUAAGACCAAGAUCCUGUUCAACUUUGAUUAGCUCCUUUGUGAGGAUUUUACCUAACAUUUCCAAGUUUUGUGCAGUUUGAGCUCAAAGAGCUAAUACCACUACAUCAACCCUUGAAUCUGAAAGGUAUUACCCUCUAUUAGGAAUCAAUUUUGAAACAAACUUCGCAGAUCUGCAUUUACAUUCGGGAUUCGAGUUCGAAUGCAAUUUUCAUUGAAACUCUUCUGAUAUAUCUUGCUUGCCUUUUUUCCCACAGUGCUAACUUUGAUUAUCCUCCUAUAUUUGAAAGUUUCUGUUUUGAACCUUCCUUGUUCGAAUAUUUGGUGUGAUGUUUCUAUCUAAUUGUAGUAUGAUCUUUGCCUGCUAUGGUAACUCCUGACUAGAAUUAAACUGCAUCUGAUCUAUUCCUGCAAAGCUGAAAACAUAGUUAAGCUAAAAAAUCAGCAAGUUUAUUUCCUUCUCUAUAGGUGUGCUCAAUCAUCGUUGUACCAUUCUCCAUAGCUCUUUUUAUAACUCUAAUCUCUACUGCAAUCGACCAAUGUAUCUCCCAGAUACCAUCUUGCACCUUCUUAAUAAUCAGAGAAUCUGUGUCCAUCACAAGAGGCAUAAGAUUAUGCUCUAAACAGUAUAAAAUGUCGCUAUUGAAUGCUUUGGUUUCAGCUUCCAAGGCUGUGCACAAAGAAAUACUCUUAGCUUCAGCAUACAGCAAACACCCUUGAUGAUUUCUCACACAAAAAGCCAUAGCACUAGUCCCCAAAACAGGUCUACUUGAGCCGUCAGUGUUACAUUUAAAAGUACCUUCUUCAGGGCAUCUCCACCUUAUAACUCUGCUAGUCAACAUAGGACUGUAAGCCUCUAGAAAAGGUAUAAUUAGGGGUCAUGCAUUUGGUACCUCCACCAACCAUGGAUAUCGUACUUUGGUCAUCAAAUAUACGUUCUUGUUGGUCUCCAUUUUCAUUGAAUGCCUUGACAUUUUGCCUCCAUGUUUGAGGACAUUCCGUCUCUUCCAUACUUUCCAAACUAUGAAUGUAGGGACUGCCUUGUAUAACGGUUUCAACUUUGUCACCCAUCAAACUCCCACCAUUUCUUAAUAACUUGUCUAAGUUGAACAAAAGGCCCUGGGAUACCUGCAGCUCCUGCAAAUACUCUCCAUAGAUAGUUUACAUCAGGACAACCUACAAAUAGAUGGUUAAAAUUUCUUGUGUCCCCGCAUUACAACAACAACAUACCACAUAGUCACAAAUUUUAUAUCUAACCAAAACCUGACCAAUGGGGAUUAUUUGGAACCAGAUUCUCCACAUAAGGAAGGAAAUUCGGAAAGGAAUUCCUUUUUCCCAAAUUUGCAUUAUACCUUCUAUUGCAUUACUUCUUUGUCUAAUCAAUUCCCAAGCACUUCUAACUGUAAAUUUUCCUGAACUGUUGUUAGGAAUCCACCAAGUUAUAUCACUCUCUCCAGAAUUAUGAUCUGACCCUAACACCUUGAAAACAUGCUGACACAAUUCUUAUGUUAACAUAUUAGACAUUAAAGGCUUGUUCCACUCUCCAUUAUUCCACAGUUGAUUCACCUCCUUCAUUAAGCCUGAGAGAUUCUGAUUAAUCUGCUCUAAGUGAUGAAUAGAGACAAUUUGGGACCAAUUAUCAUACCAAGUACUAGCUUGUCCACACCUAGGUUCCCACCAAAUCUCCUGAUCCAUUAUCCCUAGCCCAAAGCAUCAUCUUGCGGAUUAGAGAUCCACCCCUCCACUCCACUACUUGAGGCCUAUGCCUUUUGCAAUAUUUGUUCCAUAAAAAAAUAGACCACAUAGUAUUUUUAGUUCUAAAUAUCCACCACAGUUUAGCAAAUAAAGCUUUGGAUAUGUCAAAAAGAGAUCUAAACCCAAGACCUCCCUCUUCCUUAGGUACACACAUGUCAUUCCAAGCAACCCAAUGUUUAGCUUCCCUUCCUCCUUAAAGUUCCAUAGAAAUUUAGCAAAGAUUCUAUGAAGGUAAUAUAGAACACAUUUAGGAGGAAUAAUGGCUGAUAACAAAUAUAUUGGCAUACUUUGUAGUACAUGCUGAAUCAAGAUUGCUUUACCCCCAAAAGAUAAAAGCUUACCUUUCCAUUCUUGGAGCUUGUUCUGGACCCUCUUUAUUAAUUCAGAAAAAAUAGAUUUUCUUUUCUUUGCAUGACCAAUAGGACACCCCAAAUAUUUUAAAGGAAAAGUGCCUCUUGUCAACCCAAUACCUUCAAUAACAUCAUUUACAUGAGAUAUUGCAGUCUUGUUGUGCAUAUAGAAAAAACUUUUGCUUGUAUUGAUUUUCUGACCUGAUUGUCUCUCAUAAUCCUUCAAUACUUGCAUGAUGAGUAAUAAGGAUUUCUUAUCAGCUCCAACAAAAAUAAUGGUAUCAUCUGCAUAGACGAGAUGAUUUAAUUUUUCACUCCAUUUAGGUAUUCCAAAACCUUUAAAUUCAUUGUUAUGAAACAAAUGAUUCAAAGCACUGGAUAAAACCUCAGCUGUAAUAAUGAAUAAGGCAGGAGAAAGAGGGUCCCCCUGUUUUACUCCCCUUGUAGAAUGAAAGAAACCAUAAGCUUGUCCAUUAAUAAGAAUAGAAUACCAAUUGUUUGCCAUAAGUCUCCAAAUAAUAUCUACUACUCCUGCGUCAAAACCCAUGUGUUCAAGAACUCUAAUUAAAAAGUUCCAAUUUACUCUAUCGUAAGCUUUGGCCAUGUCUAGCUUGAUGACAACAUUUGCAGGGUUACCCCUCUUCCUAAUAUCAGUAAUUAUUUCUUGUGCUAAUAAAACAUUUUCUGUAAUGCUCCUUCCCUUCACAAAACAGACUGAUUCUAUGAAAUAAGGUUAGGUAACAAACCUUCCAAUCUGUCAUGAACAAUUCUAGCGAUCACUUUAUUAAUGAAAUUACUCAAACUAAUAGGUCUUAGGUCUGAAAAGGAUUGAAUGAUAUCCCUUUUAGGCAGUAAGACUAAAUUAGUAUGAGUUAUUGAUUUGGGAAAAGAAUUACCAUUGAAGAAAGCAUGUACAAUCUUCACGACUUCAGCCCCAACCACAUCCCAACAUACUUGAUAAAAAUGUCCUGUCAAGCUAUCAGGCCCACUAGAACUAUCUCCAUUAAGAUUAAAAACCACCCUUUUCACCUCAUCAUCCUCGGGUAAUAUUUUCAGUAGUUCAUUAUCACCAGUAGAGACAAUAGGAGAAAUAUGCUACAACAGAUGAAACUCAAAAUCAACUGCAGAUUCAGAGAGUUGAUCCUUAAAGAAAUCUAAUGCUUCUACUGCAAUCUGCUCCUUCCCUUCUGCCCAAGAUCCAUUCUCUCUUUGAAUUAUGUUUAAACACAGUCUUUUUCUUCUACCUUUCACUAAUGAGUGAAAGAGUUUGGUGUUCUUGUCUCCUUCAGUGAACCAUUGAAUGCUAGCCUUUUGUCUCCAAAAUUCUUCUUCAUAGUGAAGAUAGAGUUUUAGUUCAGCCUGAGCAUGCUGUAAUAUAACUCUAUUAGCUGAAUUUGGAUGCUCUUCAAAUAAAUCUUCUUUCAUUCUCACUAUUUCCUCUCUAAUCUGCACUUGAUUAAAUAUAUCACCAAUUUUUUCCUUGCUCCAUUUAGAAAGUGCUAAUUUCGUUCUUUUCAUCUCAAGCUUCCAAUCAAUAAAAAUAUCAGAAUUCAAGGUAGAACCCCAAGACUCCUUCACCACCUCUUUAAAAUCAUCCCGCUUUGUCCAAAAUUUCAAGAAUCUGAAUGGCCUUGAAACAGUCUGGUCACAGCCUACACAACUGAGUAACAAAAGAGCAUGGUCUGAACCAGUUCUGGAUAGAUAUUGGAGUUCUAUGUUACCCAACAACUCAUUCAAGUCUUGAUUAUACAAUACUCUAUCAAGCCUUUUAAAAGUGCACUCUUCAUCUGAUCUCUUAUUCCACCAGGUAAAAGGACUACCACUGAAAUUCAUAUCAAAUAACUCACAUGAGUUAAUACAACAAGCAAAAUCUUCAACUUCUUGAGGAUAUACUGGUAGGCCUCCUAUCUUUUCCUCAUUACUUAGUAUGACAUUAAAGUCUCCCCCAACAAGCCAUGUCAUAGAUAGAUUAUAGUUAAUGUAAUACAACUCAUCCCAUAGUUCUAAUCUUUCUCCAACUGAACAUUUAGCAUAUACAAUAGUAGUCAAAAAUUGUUUACCAUCUUGCAUUGUCAACUGCAGAGUCAGUUAUUCUUCAGAAUCAGAAAUAAACCCCACAUGGAUAUGCUCUUUAACAAACAACCAGAUAUGGCCAUUAGAGUUAUAAUUAACAUACUGCAUUCCUAGUCUUCUCUUGUACUUCUGAAUUUGUCUUGUAUCUUGAAAAGGCUCCAACAAAGCUAUUAAGAAAAACUUGUGAUGUUUAUUCAACAUUUGAACUCUAUGAAAAGCAUUUUGAGUUCUAACCGACCUAAUAUUCCAAAAUAAGACUUUAAGGGUCAUUUAAAUAUAGCUUUAACCACCCUUUUAGCCUGAAUCCUGGUUGGUAUUUCUUCUCUCUCUUUGGUGUUAUCUUUCCUAUUCCUACCUUCGACAACACGUUAGGAGAUACACCCACUUCUUUACAAACAUUCAUGCCAUUCUUGAUGUUGUUCACUUCUUCAGUAUCUUCAACCUAUACUUUCUGAGAAACUUCCCCUUUGUGCAUCACCUCAUCCUCCUGAACCUGAUGAGACACAAGAGCAUGUAAUUUCUCCAUAUGGGCUGAUUUUUGACCUAUAACAGGAAGUAAACCUCCUUCUACAGUCUCCAUACUAACCAUCUAAAGAGGAGUAUGAUAUGUAGCCUCUGCCAUUUCUUUCCUCAAUAUUAAUAUCCUCUCUUCUUCCUCUAUGUCUUUUGAAAUAGUUACUGCUGAAGUUAAAUCCUCUGAUUCAUUGACAUUCUGAUCCACACUAACUUGCUCACUGAGUUCUUUAUAUUACUAACAUUUUGUUCAUCUUCUACAUGUGUCAAAGCUAGUAUAUUAUCUUCAUCAUCUUUGGUUUAUGCCACUUCUAUUGCUGAGUUUAAUUUUUCUGUCUCCUUACUAUCAUAUGCCUGCUCAUUAGUCUGAUUAGUAUUACUAACCAUUUGUUCUUCUUCUACAGGUGCCAAGUUAUUCAGAUCAGUGACAUUACUAUUCAUGUCUUCAGUACCUUCCAAGACUGAUGCAUCAUCCCUUUGACACAUUAUCUUAUUAAUGUUUGUAUUAAUGCUAUGUUUCCCAUCACCCUUCCUGUGAUAUGUGAUAAA